RNAcentral lists this ribosomal RNA (476 nucleotides) under uncultured bacterium. RNAcentral's name for it is "bacterial SSU rRNA". It matches the Rfam family "Bacterial small subunit ribosomal RNA", at positions 23 to 507 of the family's 1533-position model. The record is from RNAcentral.
CUCAGGAUGAACGCUGGCGGCGUGCCUAACACAUGCAAGUCGAACGAAGCACCUUGAUUUCUUCGGAUUGAUUGGUGACUGAGUGGCGGACGGGUGAGUAACGCGUGGGUAACCUGCCGUAUGCAGGGGGACAACAGUUGGAAACGACUGCUAAUACCGCAUAAGCGCACAGUGCUGCAUGGCACAGUGUGAAAAGAUUUAUCGGCAUACGAUGGACCCGCGUCUGAUUAGCUAGUUGGUGAGGUAACGGCUCACCAAGGCGACGAUCAGUAGCCGGCCUGAGAGGGUGGACGGCCACAUUGGGACUGAGACACGGCCCAAACUCCUACGGGAGGCAGCAGUGGGGAAUAUUGCACAAUGGGGGAAACCCUGAUGCAGCGACGCCGCGUGAGUGAAGAAGUAUUUCGGUAUGUAAAGCUCUAUCAGCAGGGAAGAAAAUGACGGUACCUGACUAAGAAGCACCGGCUAAAUACGUG